AUGAAGACUCAGGCUUCACAUGUGCGUCUGAGCCACUGCAACGCCUCUUCUGCCACAUCGCCUGAAGUUCAGCCAAACUUCACGUUUAAGCAAUACACAAAGCAGGCAGUGAGAAAGCACCGAUCUCUCCUGCUGAACCGGGAAAAGGGCGGUGCUGAGCGCCGGUGCGGGACGCUGCGGGAGCCACGCACCCGCAGGGGUUGGGACGCGGGGUCACGGCUGCGGCCCCCUCGAGCUGCCGAGCCCCACCCGCCUCCUCGGUGGCCCUGGCAGCGCCUCCCGAGCCGCAGCAGCACGCGGAGCCCCGGACACCGGGAUGGGACCUCCGGGACAGACCGAUGCGAGGGAGAACCUAAGGGGCACGGCUCAGAGGCGCGGGUGGAGGACAGGGAUCUCCGGGAAUUGGACAGAGGAACAGUCUGCGAAGACCACAGCCGAACACGAGCGGCUCCGGGAAAGGGCCGGGCAGGCCCAACCGGCCCCGGGGCCGCGAGGAGGCGCCAAGGCUUGGCCGGGCCCAGGCGCACCACGAGGCUCCGCUGGGGCCGGGCCAGAGCGGUCCCGAGAGCCGCGAACGAGCCUCGCCCGGGGACAUGCGGGGCCAGGACACUGGGAAAGGGAGGGGAGCAGCGCCGCGGUGAGGCCCAGGAGGGGCGGGAGGGGGGAGUGGGCAGAGCCAGGGCGAGGCGGCUGCGGAGGGCCCAGAGAGGAGGGAGGGUAAGAGAAGCUCCCGGUGGCGGCGGGCGGGGCGGAGCAGGGACCCCGCGGACCCCACCCAAUGCCCCUGCACUCACCGGCGCCGCUUCGCCGCGGCCCCUCCGCAGCAGGCACCCCCUCCGCCUCCGUGUCACGCACUUCCGGUCCGCGCUCGCGCUCUGCCCGCCCGCGGGGGCCGCCGGGAGCCGUAGUCCGGCCCGAGUAGCGCGCCCGGGAUCCGGCGGCUCCGCCGCACUACAGCUCCCGGCAGGAGCCGCGCGCACCAUCCGUCACUUCCGCCUCCGGCCGUGGCGCGGCAGUGCGCACGGCCCUUCCGGCGGGGAGCGGGACCGCGGGCGGGAAAUGGCGGCGGAGGCGGUGACGGGGCGCGUCCGCCCAGCCAGGCCCGGCCCGGCCUGGCUUUCUCUGCCGCGCGGGCGGCCAAGGCGCGGCGCUGCCCUCGCCGAAGGGGCCUUGCGGGGCUUCUCCCGUCCAGUCCCGCGCUCCCGGUUUGUCCCAUGCGCAGCUCCUGAGGGCCCAGGAGGGAAGGCCCUGCAUGCUAGUGGGGCAGCCAGGAUGAGGUUUCUCCCCAUCGCCGGGACGGAGCUGAUGGACCAGGCAGUGCUGGGGGCUCCGGGGGCGAACUGCCCCGCUGCUGUGGAGGCCGGGAGAGCGUCCUGCCCUGCCUUGCCUGGCGGAGCACCGAGGCGCGGGCACCGACCCGCCCAGUCCCUUCCCCGGACACAGAGAGGCACGCUGAGGGCAUUGUCCACUUUUAAUUGUUGUCAAAGGUUGUCUGGAUGCAUAACACUGUCACAAGGGCACAGAGCAGCGUGGUGCCGGCCGGGCCCGGGGACACUGAACACACGAACAUGUGGGGGAACGCGGCGACAGGGAGCUAUGACACGGCCCCCGCCCCAAGCCCCUCAGAGCAUCCCCACGCCCGGCCGGCUCUAUUUACAGUAUUCACAGACGUUGUACCAGAGAGUUAAAUAA
Molecule: long non-coding RNA, 1692 nt
Filed under: Parus major (Great Tit)
Lineage: Eukaryota; Metazoa; Chordata; Aves; Passeriformes; Paridae
Description: lncRNA (ENSPMJG00000006746.1)
Source: RNAcentral